AGUUGGUGGAGUGAUUUGUCUGGUUAAUUCCGUUAACGAACGAGACCUUAGCCUACUAACUAGUCGUGCCCAUUUAGAUGGGUGUCGACUUCUUAGAGGGACUUUGUGGAUCAAACACAAGGAAGUUUGAGGCAAUAACAGGU
This 143-nucleotide ribosomal RNA is filed under the name Ciliophora sp. RNAcentral's name for it is "partial small subunit ribosomal RNA". It matches the Rfam family "Eukaryotic small subunit ribosomal RNA", at positions 1296 to 1461 of the family's 1831-position model. The record is from RNAcentral. Lineage: Eukaryota; Ciliophora.